AGCAGCCAUGAAGUGUCCUCAAGAGUGUGC
RNAcentral lists this non-coding RNA (30 nucleotides) under Homo sapiens (human). The record is from RNAcentral. Lineage: Eukaryota; Metazoa; Chordata; Mammalia; Primates; Hominidae.